This 1420-nucleotide ribosomal RNA is filed under the name Pantoea sp. Its description in RNAcentral is "partial 16S ribosomal RNA". It matches the Rfam family "Bacterial small subunit ribosomal RNA". The record is from RNAcentral. Lineage: Bacteria; Pseudomonadati; Pseudomonadota; Gammaproteobacteria; Enterobacterales; Erwiniaceae.
UGCAGUCGGANGGUAGCACANANGANCUUGCUCCUCGGGUGANNAGUGGCAGAGGGGUGANUAAUGUCUGGGGAUCUGCCCGAUAGAGGGGGAUAACCACUGGAAACGGUGGCUAAUACCGCAUAACNUCNCNAGACCAAAGAGGGGGACCUUCGGGCCUCUCACUAUCNGAUGAACCCANAGGGGAUUAGCUNGUANGCGGGGUAACGGCCCACCUACGCNACNAUCCCUANCGGGUCUGANAAGAUGACCNNCCACNCUGGAACUGANACACGGUCCACACUCCUAGGGGANGCANCUGUGGGGAAUAUUGCACAGUGGGCGCACGCCUGAUGCANCCAUGCCGCGUGUAAGAANAGNGCCUUCGGGUUGUAAANUACUUUCAGCGGGGAAGAAGGCNAUGUGGUUAAUANCCNUGUCNAUUGACNUUACCCGCAAAANAANCACCGGCUAACUCCGUGCCNNCNNCCGCNGUAAUACAGAGGGUGCAAGCUUUAAUCNNAAUUACUGGGCNGUAAAGCGCACGCAGCGCGGUCUGUUAACUCAGAUGUGAAAUCCCCGGGCUUNANCCUGGGAACUGCAUUUGAAACUGGCAGCGCUUGAGUCUCGUAGAGGGGGGUAGAAUUCCAGGUGUAGCGGUGAAAUGCGUAGAGAUCUGGAAGAAUACCGGUGGCGAAGGCGGCCCCCUGGAAGAAGACUGACGCUCAGGUGCGAAANGCGUGGGGAGCAAACAGNGAUUAGAUACCCUGGUAGUCCACGCCGUAAACGAUGUCGACUUGGAGGUUGUUCCCUUGAGGAGUGGCUUCCGGAGCUAACGCGUUAAGUCGACCGCCUGGGGAGUACGGCCGCAAGGUUAAAACUCAAAUGAAUUGACGGGGGCCCGCACAAGCGGUGGAGCAUGUGGUUUAAUUCGAUGCAACGCGAAGAACCUUACCUACUCUUGACAUCCACGGAAUUCGGCAGAGAUGCCUUAGUGCCUUCGGGAACCGUGAGACAGGUGCUGCAUGGCUGUCGUCAGCUCGUGUUGUGAAAUGUUGGGUUAAGUCCCGCAACGAGCGCAACCCUUAUCCUUUGUUGCCAGCGAUUCGGUCGGGAACUCAAAGGAGACUGCCGGUGAUAAACCGGAGGAAGGUGGGGAUGACGUCAAGUCAUCAUGGCCCUUACGAGUAGGGCUACACACGUGCUACAAUGGCGCAUACAAAGAGAAGCGACCUCGCGAGAGCAAGCGGACCUCAUAAAGUGCGUCGUAGUCCGGAUCGGAGUCUGCAACUCGACUCCGUGAAGUCGGAAUCGCUAGUAAUCGUGGAUCAGAAUGCCACGGUGAAUACGUUCCCGGGCCUUGUACACACCGCCCGUCACACCAUGGGAGUGGGUUGCAAAAGAAGUNNNUAGCUUANCCUUCGGGAGGGNGCUUACCACU